CGGGGUGCAGCAGGCGCGAAACCUUCGCAAUGCGCGCAAGCGCGACGAGGUUAUUCCGAGUGAUUUCCGCUGAGGAAAUCUUUUCUUAGAUCUAAAAAGUCUGGGGAAUAAGGGGAGGGCAAGUCUGGUGUCAGCCGCCGCGGUAAUACCAGCUCCUCGAGUGGUCAGGGCGUUUAUUGGGCCUAAAGCAUCCGUAGCCUGCUCGGUAGGUCUCCUGUUAAAUCCAACGGCUCAACCGUCGGCAUGCAGGAGAUACCGCUGGGCUAGGAGGCGGGAGAGGCGGACGGUACUCCGAGGGUAGGGGUAAAAUCCUUUGAUCCCCGGAAGACCACCAGUGGCGAAGGCGGUCCGCCAGAACGCGCUCGACGGUGAGGGAUGAAAGCUGGGGGAGCGAACCGGAUUAGAUACCCGGGUAGUCUCAGCUGUAAACGAUGCGAGCUAGGUGACACGACGCCUUCGGGGCAUCGUGGUGCCGCAGGGAAGCCGUUAAGCUCGCCGCCUGGGGAGUACGGACGCAAGUCUGAAAAAGGAAUUGGCGGGGGAGCAC
Molecule: ribosomal RNA, 547 nt
Filed under: uncultured archaeon
Lineage: Archaea
Description: bacterial SSU rRNA
Rfam family: Archaeal small subunit ribosomal RNA
Source: RNAcentral